This 591-nucleotide ribosomal RNA is filed under the name Triticum aestivum (bread wheat). Its description in RNAcentral is "partial small subunit ribosomal RNA". The record is from RNAcentral. Lineage: Eukaryota; Viridiplantae; Streptophyta; Magnoliopsida; Poales; Poaceae.
AUGGAUUGGGAUCUAUUUUCCGGUGGAUGGCCGCCGCCUACAGCUUGUUUCGUGCGCAGGAAGCGCCCACGUCUCGGCGCCGUGGCCCCGCAGCUCUACCGCGUGACUUCUCUUUCAGCGGAUGGAUCUUUUAUGGAGGCGGAUGGAACGGCGGCGGCAGGAUUUAUACUCCGGAGACAUGAUGGAUCGGUUGUUUUUGCUGCUUAUCGGUUCUUGUUUAACUGCAAUGAGGCUCUUGAGGCGGAGAUACAUGUGUUAAUGAUCGGCAUGGCGCUCGUCCGUCAGCAUACCGAGUUACCUAUUCUGGUGCAACCUGACUCUUCGACUGCUCUUUCUUGUCUCUCCGGGUCAAGUUUGAUUAGUUCGGUUUAUGGUCAUUUAGUUGCUGAGAUCAAGUCUUUAAUGAGGUACAAGAGGGACCACCCAUUUGCCCAGCUAUCUGGUUCCGACAACAUCAUCGCCUUCACCACUUCGAGGUACAAGGAGCAGCCGCUGAUCGUGCGAGGGCCGGGUGCAGGCGCGGAGGUGACUGCCGGAGGCGUCUUCUGCAACAUCCUGCGGCUGGCGUCCUACCUCGGCGCCCCCUCAUAG